RNAcentral lists this long non-coding RNA (541 nucleotides) under Salmo salar (Atlantic salmon). RNAcentral describes it as "lncRNA (ENSSSAG00000115434.1)". The record is from RNAcentral. Lineage: Eukaryota; Metazoa; Chordata; Actinopteri; Salmoniformes; Salmonidae.
GUAGAGAGGCUAUAUACAGUAGAGAGGCUAUAUACAGUAGAGAGGCUAUAUACAGUAGAGGCUAUAUACAGUAGAGAGGCUAUAUACAGUAGAGAGGCUAUAUACAGUAGAGAGGCUACAUACAGUAGAGAGGCUACAUACAGUAGAGAGGCUAUAUACAGUAGAGAGGCUAUAUACAGUAGAGAGGCUAUAUACAGUAGAGAGGCUAUAUACAGUAGAGAGGCUAUAUACAGUAGUGAGGCUAUAUACAGUAGAGGCUAUAUACAGUAGAGAGGAUAUAUACAGUAGAGAGGCUAUAUACAGUAGAGAGGCUAUAUACAGUAGAGAGGCUAUAUACAGUAGAGAGGCUAUAUACAGUAGAGAGGCUAUAUACAGUAGAGAGGCUAUAUACAGUAGAGAGGCUAUAUACAGUAGAGAGGCUACAUACAGACACCGGUUAGUCAGGCUGAUUGAGGUAGUAUGUACAUGUAGAUAUGGUUAAAGUGACUAUGCAUAUAUGAUGAACAGAGAGUAGCAGCAGCGUAAAAGGGGGGUUGGGGGG